RNAcentral lists this ribosomal RNA (482 nucleotides) under uncultured bacterium. RNAcentral's name for it is "partial 16S ribosomal RNA". It matches the Rfam family "Bacterial small subunit ribosomal RNA", at positions 29 to 507 of the family's 1533-position model. The record is from RNAcentral.
AGUGAACGCUGGCGGCAUGCCUUACACAUGCAAGUCGAACGGUAACACCACUUCGGUGGCCGACGAGUGGCGGACGGGGGCGUAAUACAUCGGAACGUGCCGAGUACUGGUGGAUAACUACUCGAAAGAGUAGCUAAUACCGCAUAAGAUCUAAUGAUGAAAGCGGGGGACCUCCGGGCCUUGCGCUACUUUAGCGGCUGAUGGCAGAUUAGGUAGGUGGUGGGAUAAAAGCUGACCAAGCCGACGAUCUGUAGCUGGUCUGAGAGGACGACCAGCCACACUGGGACUGAGACACGGCCCAGACUCCUACGGGAGGCAGCAGUGGGGAAUUUUGGACAAUGGGCGCAAGCCUGAUCCAGCAAUGCCGCGUGCGGGAUGAAGGCCUUCGGGUUGUAAACUGCUUUUGUACGGAACGAAAAGCAGUCUUCUAAUACCGGAGGGUCCUGACGGUACCGUAAGAAUAAGCACCGGCUAACUACGUG